RNAcentral lists this ribosomal RNA (532 nucleotides) under uncultured bacterium. RNAcentral describes it as "bacterial SSU rRNA". It matches the Rfam family "Bacterial small subunit ribosomal RNA", at positions 356 to 896 of the family's 1533-position model. The record is from RNAcentral.
GGGGAAUAUUGCACAAUGGGCGCAAGCCUGAUGCAGCGACGCCGCGUGGGGGAUGACGGCCUUCGGGUUGUAAACUCCUUUCGCUAGGGACGAAGCUUUUUGUGACGGUACCUAGAUAAGAAGCACCGGCUAACUACGUGCCAGCAGCCGCGGUAAUACGUAGGGUGCGAGCGUUGUCCGGAAUUACUGGGCGUAAAGGGCUCGUAGGUGGUUUGUCGCGUCGUCUGUGAAAUUCCGAGGCUUAACUCCGGGCGUGCAGGCGAUACGGGCAUAACUUAAGUACUGUAGGGGUAACUGGAAUUCCUGGUGUAGCGGUGAAAUGCGCAGAUAUCAGGAGGAACACCGAUGGCGAAGGCAGGUUACUGGGCAGUUACUGACGCUGAGGAGCGAAAGCAUGGGUAGCGAACAGGAUUAGAUACCCUGGUAGUCCAUGCCGUAAACGGUGGGCGCUAGGUGUGAGGGUCUUUUCACGACUUUCGUGCCGUAGCUAACGCAUUAAGCGCCCCGCCUGGGGAGUACGGCCGCAAGGCUA